UACGUAGGUGGCAAGCGUUGUCCGGAUUUACUGGGCGUAAAGAGCGCGCAGGCGGUCGGAUCAGUCGAAUGUGAAAGCCCCCGGCUCAACUGGGGAGGGUCAUUCGAUACUGUUCGACUUGAAGGCAGGAGAGGGAAGCGGAAUUCCCGGUGUAGUGGUGAAAUGCGUAGAUAUCGGGAGGAACACCAGUGGCGAAGGCGGCUUUCUGGCCUGUUCUUGACGCUGAGGCGCGAAAGCUAGGGGAGCGAACGGG
This 253-nucleotide ribosomal RNA is filed under the name uncultured bacterium. RNAcentral's name for it is "partial 16S ribosomal RNA". It matches the Rfam family "Bacterial small subunit ribosomal RNA", at positions 524 to 776 of the family's 1533-position model. The record is from RNAcentral.